This 253-nucleotide ribosomal RNA is filed under the name uncultured bacterium. Its description in RNAcentral is "partial 16S ribosomal RNA". The stretch from base 27 to 253 matches the Rfam family "Bacterial small subunit ribosomal RNA", at positions 550 to 776 of the family's 1533-position model. The record is from RNAcentral.
UACCAGCACCCCGAGUGGUCGGGACGUUUAUUGGGCGUAAAGAGCGUGUAGGCGGCUAUUUAAGUCCUGCGUGAAAUCCUGCGGCUCAACCGCAGACGGUCGUGGGAAACUGGAUGGCUAGAGUGCGGGAGAGGAGAGUGGAAUUCCCGGUGUAGCGGUGAAAUGCGCAGAUAUCGGGAAGAACACCCGUGGCGAAGGCGGCUCUCUGGACCGAUACUGACGCUGAGGCGCGAAAGCGUGGGGAGCAAACAGG